This 303-nucleotide ribosomal RNA is filed under the name uncultured bacterium. Its description in RNAcentral is "partial 16S ribosomal RNA". It matches the Rfam family "Bacterial small subunit ribosomal RNA", at positions 507 to 807 of the family's 1533-position model. The record is from RNAcentral.
AGCAGCAGCCGCGGGAAAACGGAGGGUGCAAGCGUUAAUCGGAAUUACUGGGCGUAAAGCGCACGCAGGCGGUUUGUUAAGUCAGAUGUGAAAUCCCCGAGCUUAACUUGGGAACUGCAUUUGAAACUGGCAAGCUAGAGUCUUGUAGAGGGGGGUAGAAUUCCAGGUGUAGCGGUGAAAUGCGUAGAGAUCUGGAGGAAUACCGGUGGCGAAGGCGGCCCCCUGGACAAAGACUGACGCUCAGGUGCGAAAGCGUGGGGAGCAAACAGGAUUAGAUACCCCAGUAGUCCCUGUCUCUUAUAC